RNAcentral lists this transfer RNA (66 nucleotides) under Chimarra paramonorum. RNAcentral describes it as "tRNA-Met". The record is from RNAcentral. Lineage: Eukaryota; Metazoa; Arthropoda; Insecta; Trichoptera; Philopotamidae.
UUAAAAAUAAGCUAAAUAAAGCUAAUGAACUCAUACUUCAUCUAUAAAGUAAUUCUUUUUUUUAAA